AACCAUAGAAACCUGCGGAGUACCUGCGGAGGGAUCAUUACAGAGUUGCAAAACUCCCUAAACCAUUGUGAACGUUACCUAAACCGUUGCUUCGGCGGGCGGCCCGGGUCCUUCCCGGCGCCCCUCGGCCCUCGCGGGCGCCCGCCGGAGGUAAGCCAAACUAUUGCAUUGUAUGGCCUCUCUGAGUCUUCUGUACUGAAUAAGUCAAAACUUUCAACAACGGAUCUCAGAUCGGAAGAG
This 240-nucleotide unclassified non-coding RNA is filed under the name soil metagenome. RNAcentral describes it as "partial contains 5.8S ribosomal RNA, internal transcribed spacer 2, and large subunit ribosomal RNA". The record is from RNAcentral.